GGGCCCGCACAAGCGGUGGAGCAUGUGGUUUAAUUCGACGCAACGCGAAGAACCUUACCCAGACUUGACAUGCAUUAGACGGGUGUGGAAACACACCUUCCCUUCGGGGCUGGUGCACAGGUGCUGCAUGGCUGUCGUCAGCUCGUGUCGUGAGAUGUUGGGUUAAGUCCCGCAACGAGCGCAACCCUUGUCCUUAGUUGCUAACGGAUAAAGCCGAGCACUCUAAGGAGACUGCCGGUGAUAAACCGGAGGAAGGUGGGGAUGACGUCAAGUCCUCAUGGCCCUUACGUCUGGGGCUACACACGUGCUACAAUGGCCGGCACAAAGGGUUCCGAUACCGCGAGGUGGAGGCAAUCUCAAAAAACCGGUCUCAGUUCGGAUCGCAGUCUGCAACUCGACUGCGUGAAGUCGGAAUCGCUAGUAAUCGCUGAUCAGCAGGCAGCGGUGAAUACGUUCCCGGGCCUU
This 465-nucleotide ribosomal RNA is filed under the name uncultured bacterium. RNAcentral describes it as "bacterial SSU rRNA". It matches the Rfam family "Bacterial small subunit ribosomal RNA", at positions 917 to 1382 of the family's 1533-position model. The record is from RNAcentral.